Molecule: ribosomal RNA, 720 nt
Filed under: uncultured bacterium
Lineage: Bacteria
Description: bacterial SSU rRNA
Rfam family: Bacterial small subunit ribosomal RNA
Source: RNAcentral
AGUAACCUACCUUUCAGAGGGGAAUAACGUUCUGAAAAGAACGCUAAUACCGCAUAACGUACAGUUACCGCAUGGUAGCAGUACCAAAGGAGCAAUCCGCUGAAAGAUGGACUCGCGUCCGAUUAGCCAGUUGGUGGGGUAAAGGCCUACCAAGGCGACGAUCGGUAGCCGGACUGAGAGGUUGAACGGCCACAUUGGGACUGAGGCACGGCCCAGACUCCUACGGGAGGCAGCAGUGGGGGAUAUUGCACAAUGGGGGAAACCCUGAUGCAGCAACGCCGCGUGUGGGAAGAAGGUUUUCGGAUUGUAAACCACUGUUCUUGGUGAAGAUAAUGACGGUAGCCAAGGAGAAAGCUCCGGCUACCUACGUGCCAGCAGCCGCGGUAAUACGUAGGGAGCAAGCGUUGUCCGGAUUUACUGGGUGUAAAGGGUACGUAGGCGGCUAGGCAAGUCAGACGUGAAAACCAUGGGCUCAACCUGUGGACUGCGUUUGAAACUGUUUAGCUUGAGUGAAGUAGAGGUAGGCGGAAUUCCCGGUGUAGCGGUGAAAUGCGUAGAGAUCGGGAGGAACACCAGUGGCGAAGGCGGCCUACUGGGCUUUAACUGACGCUGAGGCACGAAAGCAUGGGUAGCAAACAGGAUUAGAUACCCUGGUAGUCCAUGCCGUAAACGAUGAUUACUAGGUGUGGGGGGUCUGACCCCCUCCGUGCCGGAGUUAAC